AAGAAGAUGGGUGGAGAGGUGGUGGAGGCGAAGGGGACCGCGCUCUUCUCUGCGCCGCCUCGGAUUGCAUGGGAGUCCGGCGGCGGCGGUCAGGAUAACGGGGGCUUUGACGGAUGGAGCGAGUGCGCGUCUCCGGCUGAUAAAAACGCGGAGCUGGGGGUCCUGACGGUGGCGGAGGCGGUUCUGCAGGCGGGAGACACCAAAGCAGAGAGGCUCCUCUGACACAACAUGAUGCUGUGGCCGGUGCUCCUGGCUCCUGGACAUGAGCUACUUCCUGUUUUUGUUUGGGGUUUUUUCCCUUCUCCCCUGAGAUUUCAACAGACUUUAACAUUUAAACUUGUGAGCGAAAGUCACGUUUGUGAGAACAUCUUGCUUGGUGUAAAGCUCUCAAAAAUAAGAAAAGCUGAAGGGAAAACAUUUCGUUUUCAUGUUUUCUGUAUAUUUUUGUCUAAAUUAUUUUUGGGAAUAAAGUGCAAAGACAUUGAAAUGUGGCUGUGUGACUCUGAGCAGUGGAUGCUGUCUGCUUUAGUGAAAGAGACUAUGUUGCAAAGGUAAUCCUUAACAAAGUGUCACCUUUUUAACGUCUAUAAGUACAAACAAAUGUUUGGGAUUUAACACACAUGGGUAAUUUCUUUCUACUUUAUCCAAAAUAGCUGAGCUACAGCUGGGUCUGUAAGGGAAAGAAAGCAAAUUCGUCGACGGAGCCAGAAUGUCUCUUAUCUUUAAGGGAACGUAUUUCUCUGGUGCCAGCGGGUGGUUUAAAAAAAAAAAAAAAAAUGAAGAUGUAGAGAUAGAAGGAAUGUGACCUGAAUGUUUUAAGCUCUUUCCGUGUCAUCUGUCACGCCGCUCACUCCUCGUGAGGUGCCGUGCGAAGCAUGGAAAGAGUAAAACUAACUUUCACAAGUUGCCGCUGUCGGAUCGGCCGCUGCGUAGGGUUUUUCUUCGCUGCCGUCCUCCUUGAUGCGGUCGGCCUCGUCGUCUUCGUCACUGGGAUCGCCUCGCCCGUCGCCUACUGGGACUUUCUUGUCCUUUCUGGGCCGCUAAUCUUGUUCCUCAGCCUGGCGUUUUGGAUUUUGUGGCACAUCGGAAACGUAGAGGUGCCGGCCGAGGAGCUGACUCAACUUUGAGGCUCCUCGCCAGCAACCGUUGAUCACCUUUCGCCGGAUGAGGAAGCCAAUUCAGCUACAGGUUCAAAGCUUCUGCUGUGAAAUAAGCGAAUGUGGAGAAAGUAAUGUUUGUUAAAAGUUUUGUUGCUUUCCUUUGUUUGGUUUCAGGUGCUUUUUGUGCUUGGAGUCUGUCUCGAAGGACAAACUUAUGGAGCCGUAAUCUGAAAAAGACGUCUGACUGUUGAGAAGGAAAAGUUCUGAAGAUCUCUUCAGACCAAGAAAGGUGCAAUCAUUAAGACUCUUUUGUAUUUUGACAAAUAAUCCUGAAUGAUGUUUACUCCGACUUGCCCCCAGAAAAGCCAAGAUGAAAAGGAACACACAACAAUAGCAAAUUGCUGUAGUUAUUUUUAAUUAGCAUUAUUUUUGAGUCAUUUUGUUCCCAACUAAUAUUAUAUUAUAGCCAUUUGGGAUUCUUUUGUGCUCGUAUUCCGUCUUUUGGGGCCUUUUUAAAUUCACAUUGUCCCUGUUUGAUUCAUCCUUUAGCUUUUUAUCUCAAACUUGCGUUCUUUGUAAGCAUUUCCUUUGUUUGGGGUCUUGUGCAUAGUUUUUUGUUAAAAUUCCACCCCUAAGCUGCGCUUUUGUAUCUCUAUUGCUACGCUGAGGCUCUUUGCUGUCCUUUUGUGAUGAACACAUUUCACAAAUUGUCCUGAUUACUGUAAUGUUGCUUUUGUGCAAAUAUUUGAGGCGUUUCUCAAAUCUAAAUGUGAGCGGUCAAAUAAGUUUUUGAUUCCUACACUACUUCUUUUUUGUUUUCUCAUUCAGUCUGACCAUAUUUCUCCUAAAAUGUUUUGUUUUAAAAAAAAAAAAAAGACUUCAUCUAGCACUGAAUUUCCUUCUUUGAGCCGUAUGGCUUUUUGAAGUUGCAUUGUUUCAAAUGGAAACAUAAUAAAAGCAAUUCCGAUUAGCGUAUUAGUUUGCUACACUUGUUGGCACUUUUUUUUUUUUUUUUUAAACAUGGACAACCUUUUGGAUUGUCAAAAGAUGUACACCAAACUCAACUAUGAACUUUAUUGAAAUGAAGGACCCAAACAAAUAAUUAUAUCGAUACAUAACGUCAAAAUGAUGUUAUGUAGAUUUAAAGGUCCAUUUUCACCAGCUUGUGCAUAGCGUCACGGUUUCUAGGUUACAGGACAAACUCCGGGGUAAGGGCAGGGAAUAAAGCUGAAGGCUAGACCGUCAAAUUUCACAGCCGCUCAUGUCUGGUCUGGUCUUUGCGGUUGACAAAGAACCUGACCUACCUUUGUAGGCCUUGUGGACGAAGCACUACGUGGUGUUUCAUCGACCACGAAGCCUACAUCAGCCAGGUCCUUUGAGGGACACAGCCCCUCCAUUUGGACACACCCUAUCUGUUAGAAAAUGUAUGUAAUGUAAAAAAAAUAUUAAAUUAUAAUAAUUAGUUUAUCAAAUCAAGGAUGCUAUUACACCUUUUCAAUUUUCUCUCAUGUAUCAUUGUGUUCUGUGUAAAUAAACGUCUAAUCCAAUGAA
Molecule: long non-coding RNA, 2651 nt
Organism: Xiphophorus hellerii (green swordtail)
Lineage: Eukaryota; Metazoa; Chordata; Actinopteri; Cyprinodontiformes; Poeciliidae
Exons: 2
Source: RefSeq, a predicted model, not a curated record